This 439-nucleotide ribosomal RNA is filed under the name uncultured bacterium. RNAcentral describes it as "partial 16S ribosomal RNA". It matches the Rfam family "Bacterial small subunit ribosomal RNA", at positions 339 to 795 of the family's 1533-position model. The record is from RNAcentral.
CUACGGGGCGCACCAGUGGGGAAUAUUGCACAAUGGAGGAAACUCUGAUGCAGCAACGCCGCGUGGAGGAUGACACUUUUCGGAGCGUAAACUCCUUUUAUAUAGGAAGAUAAUGACGGUACUAUAUGAAUAAGCGCCGGCUAACUCCGUGCCAGCAGCCGCGGUAAUACGGAGGGCGCAAGCGUUACUCGGAAUCACUGGGCGUAAAGAGCGUGUAGGCGGAUUAAAAAGUCAGAAGUGAAAUCCUAUAGCUUAACUAUAGAACUGCUUCUGAAACUCUUAAUCUAGAAUAUGGGAGAGGUAGAUGGAAUUUCUGGUGUAGGGGUAAAAUCCGUAGAGAUCAGAAGGAAUACCGAUUGCGAAGGCGAUCUACUAGAACAUUAUUGACGCUGAGACGCGAAAGCGUGGGGAGCAAACAGGAUUAGAUACCCCAGUAGUC